UACGGAGGGUUCAAGCGUUGUCCGGAAUUAUUGGGCGUAAAGCGCGCGCAGGUGGUUCUUUAAGUCUGAUGUGAAAGCCCCCGGCUCAACCGGGGAGGGUCAUUGGAAACUGGAGGACUUGAGUACAGAAGAGGAAAGUGGAAUUCCACGUGUAGCGGUGAAAUGCGUAGAGAUGUGGAGGAACACCAGUGGCGAAGGCGACUUUCUGGUCUGUAACUGACGCUGAGGCGCGAAAGCGUGGGGAGCGAACAGG
Molecule: unclassified non-coding RNA, 253 nt
Filed under: uncultured Bacillaceae bacterium
Lineage: Bacteria; Bacillati; Bacillota; Bacilli; Caryophanales; Bacillaceae
Description: contains 16S-23S intergenic spacer region
Rfam family: Bacterial small subunit ribosomal RNA
Source: RNAcentral